This is a long non-coding RNA of Cheilinus undulatus (humphead wrasse), 224 nucleotides long. RefSeq lists it as uncharacterized. The record is from RefSeq and is a predicted model, not a curated record. The transcript is spliced from 3 exons. Lineage: Eukaryota; Metazoa; Chordata; Actinopteri; Labriformes; Labridae.
UGGUGUGGGGUUUCAUCUUCAUGGAAACUGGAGCUGGGGGGAGCCACGAAGUAGUAAACAGGAAACUCCAGGCUGGACGAUGCAGGAGCAGCCUGAACGGGCCUGUCCAAGCUGGAGGGUGCAGCCGAGUCUCCAGCAGAAACAAUGGGGCUGUAGGGGUCAAGGUUCACACCCACGCUGGAGGUCAGAGAGGGCUGUGCAAAGCUGGGGAUGUUGAAUCUGAG